CGAGCGGGGGAAGGUAGCUUGCUACUGGACCUAGCGGCGGACGGGUGAGUAAUGCUUAGGAAUCUGCCUAUUAGUGGGGGACAACAUCUCGAAAGGGAUGCUAAUACCGCAUACGUCCUACGGGAGAAAGCAGGGGAUCUUCGGACCUUGCGCUAAUAGAUGAGCCUAAGUCGGAUUAGCUAGUUGGUGGGGUAAAGGCCUACCAAGGCGACGAUCUGUAGCGGGUCUGAGAGGAUGAUCCGCCACACUGGGACUGAGACACGGCCCAGACUCCUACGGGAGGCAGCAGUGGGGAAUAUUGGACAAUGGGGGGAACCCUGAUCCAGCCAUGCCGCGUGUGUGAAGAAGGCCUUAUGGUUGUAAAGCACUUUAAGCGAGGAGGAGGCUACUUUAGUUAAUACCUAGAGAUAGUGGACGUUACUCGCAGAAUAAGCACCGGCUAACUCUGUGCCAGCAGCCGCGGUAAUACAGAGGGUGCGAGCGUUAAUCGGAUUUACUGGGCGUAAAGCGUGCGUAGGCGGCUUAUUAAGUCGGAUGUGAAAUCCCCGAGCUUAACUUGGGAAUUGCAUUCGAUACUGGUGAGCUAGAGUAUGGGAGAGGAUGGUAGAAUUCCAGGUGUAGCGGUGAAAUGCGUAGAGAUCUGGAGGAAUACCGAUGGCGAAGGCAGCCAUCUGGCCUAAUACUGACGCUGAGGUACGAAAGCAUGGGGAGCAAACAGGAUUAGAUACCCUGGUAGUCCAUGCCGUAAACGAUGUCUACUAGCCGUUGGGGCCUUUGAGGCUUUAGUGGCGCAGCUAACGCGAUAAGUAGACCGCCUGGGGAGUACGGUCGCAAGACUAAAACUCAAAUGAAUUGACGGGGGCCCGCACAAGCGGUGGAGCAUGUGGUUUAAUUCGAUGCAACGCGAAGAACCUUACCUGGCCUUGACAUACUAGAAACUUUCCAGAGAUGGGAUUGGUGCCUUCGGGAAUCUAGAUACAGUUGCUGCAUGGCUGUCGUCAGCUCGUGUCGUGAAAUGUUGGGUUAAGUCCCG
RNAcentral lists this ribosomal RNA (1033 nucleotides) under Acinetobacter baumannii. RNAcentral's name for it is "bacterial SSU rRNA". It matches the Rfam family "Bacterial small subunit ribosomal RNA", at positions 63 to 1089 of the family's 1533-position model. The record is from RNAcentral. Lineage: Bacteria; Pseudomonadati; Pseudomonadota; Gammaproteobacteria; Moraxellales; Moraxellaceae.